This 436-nucleotide RNase P RNA is filed under the name Desulfobacterales bacterium. Its description in RNAcentral is "RNase P RNA component class A". It matches the Rfam family "Bacterial RNase P class A". Rfam says of the family: Ribonuclease P (RNase P) is a ubiquitous endoribonuclease, found in archaea, bacteria and eukarya as well as chloroplasts and mitochondria. Its best characterised activity is the generation of mature 5'-ends of tRNAs by cleaving the 5'-leader elements of precursor-tRNAs. The record is from RNAcentral. Lineage: Bacteria; Pseudomonadati; Thermodesulfobacteriota; Desulfobacteria; Desulfobacterales.
CGGCGUCCGCCAGACGAUCGCCGGCGGGCUGCGCGCCUGCCGGAGGAAAGUCCGAACACCACAGGGCAGGGUGCUCCAUAACGUGGAGUCGCGGCAACGCGAAGGAAAGUGCAACAGAGAGCAGACCGCCCCGCACCCACUUUUAUUUCCAGGACCGGUAUUACAGGAAAACGAGCCUGGCGAUAAAAGUGGGUGCGGGGUAAGGGUGAAACGGUGCGGUAAGAGCGCACCAGUUCCCCGGGUGACCGGGGAAGCUAGGUAAACCCCACCCGGUGCAAGACCGAAUAGGGGAGCGUUUGAGGGCGGCCCGCCUGAUGCUUCCGGGUAGGUCGCAAGAGGUGCCGGGCAACCGGCAUCCACAGAUGAAUGAUCGUCGCCCGCAGGCGGGGCAACCGGCCUGCGGGAACAGAAUUCGGCUUAUGGACGGCGCCGGCCG